UGUGUUGUUGUUAAGGGCGCACGGUGGAUGCCUUGGCACAGAAGAGCCGAUGAAGGACGUGGGAGGCUGCGUUAUGCCUCGGGGAGUUGCCAACCGAGCGUUGAUCCGAGGAUGUCCGAAUGGGGAAACCCGGCCGUGGUUAUGUGCGGUCACCCGCCGGUGAAUAGAUAGCCGGUGUGGAGGGAACGCGGGGAAGUGAAACAUCUCAGUACCCGUAGGAAGAGAAAACAAUAGUGAUUCCGUCAGUAGCGGCGAGCGAAAGCGGAUGGUGGCUAAACCGUGUGCGUGUGAUACCUGGCAGGGGUUGCGUGCACGGGGUUGUGGGGCGAUGUUGUGUGG
Molecule: ribosomal RNA, 339 nt
Filed under: Corynebacterium bovis
Lineage: Bacteria; Bacillati; Actinomycetota; Actinomycetes; Mycobacteriales; Corynebacteriaceae
Description: partial 23S ribosomal RNA
Rfam family: Bacterial large subunit ribosomal RNA
Source: RNAcentral